RNAcentral lists this ribosomal RNA (253 nucleotides) under uncultured Gemmatimonas sp. RNAcentral's name for it is "partial 16S ribosomal RNA". It matches the Rfam family "Bacterial small subunit ribosomal RNA", at positions 524 to 776 of the family's 1533-position model. Lineage: Bacteria; Pseudomonadati; Gemmatimonadota; Gemmatimonadia; Gemmatimonadales; Gemmatimonadaceae. The record is from RNAcentral.
UACGGAGGGUGCGAGCGUUGUCCGGAAUCAUUGGGCGUAAAGGGCGCGUAGGUGGCGGGACAAGCGUGCGGUGAAAGCUCGGGGCUCAACCCCGCGUCGGCCGUGCGAACUGUUUUGCUCGAGCACUGUAGAGGCAGGCGGAAUUCCGGGUGUAGCGGUGGAAUGCGUAGAGAUCCGGAAGAACACCGGUGGCGAAGGCGGCCUGCUGGGCAGUGGCUGACACUGAGGCGCGACAGCGUGGGGAGCAAACAGG